GUGAGGAAUAUUGGACAAUGGGCGCAAGCCUGAUCCAGCCAUGCCGCGUGCAGGAAGACGCAUCUAUGGUGUGUAAACUGCUUUUGUACGGGAAGAAACACUCCCUCGUGAGGGAGCUUGACGGUACCGUAAGAAUAAGGAUCGGCUAACUCCGUGCCAGCAGCCGCGGUAAUACGGAGGAUCCAAGCGUUAUCCGGAAUCAUUGGGUUUAAAGGGUCCGUAGGCGGUUUAAUAAGUCAGUGGUGAAAGCCCAUCGCUCAACGAUGGAACGGCCAUUGAUACUGUUAGACUUGAAUUACAAGGAAGUAACUAGAAUAUGUAGUGUAGCGGUGAAAUGCUUAGAUAUUACAUGGAAUACCAAUUGCGAAGGCAGGUUACUACUUGUGGAUUGACGCUGAUGGACGAAAUCGUGGGGAGCGAACAGGAUUAGAAACCCCGGUAGUCC
This 445-nucleotide ribosomal RNA is filed under the name uncultured bacterium. Its description in RNAcentral is "partial 16S ribosomal RNA". It matches the Rfam family "Bacterial small subunit ribosomal RNA", at positions 354 to 796 of the family's 1533-position model. The record is from RNAcentral.